Molecule: ribosomal RNA, 499 nt
Filed under: uncultured bacterium
Lineage: Bacteria
Description: bacterial SSU rRNA
Rfam family: Bacterial small subunit ribosomal RNA
Source: RNAcentral
CUAAUACUCCAUAUGCUCUAGCGAGGAAAGCGGGGAUCGAAAGACCUCGUGCUUUAAGAGUGGCCGAUGUCUGAUUAGCUAGUUGGUAAGGUAAAGGCUUACCAAGGCGACGAUCAGUAGCUGGUCUGAGAGGACGAUCAGCCACACUGGGACUGAGACACGGCCCAGACUCCUACGGGAGGCAGCAGUGGGGAAUUUUGGACAAUGGGCGAAAGCCUGAUCCAGCCAUGCCGCGUGAGUGAAGAAGGCCUUCGGGUUGUAAAGCUCUUUCGGUCGAGAAGAAAUGUCUAUGACUAAUACUUAUAGAAAAUGACGGUAUCGACAUAAGAAGCACCGGCUAACUACGUGCCAGCAGCCGCGGUAAUACGUAGGGUGCAAGCGUUAAUCGGAAUUAUUGGGCGUAAAGGGUGCGCAGGCUGUGCUGUAAGUCAGAUGUGAAAUCCCCGGGCUUAACCUGGGAAUUGCGUUUGAAACUGCAGUGCUAGAGUGUGAUAGAGGA